This 447-nucleotide ribosomal RNA is filed under the name uncultured bacterium. Its description in RNAcentral is "bacterial SSU rRNA". It matches the Rfam family "Bacterial small subunit ribosomal RNA", at positions 329 to 793 of the family's 1533-position model. The record is from RNAcentral.
AUCCAGACUCCUACGGGAGGCAGCAGUGGGGAAUAUUGGACAAUGGGGGAAACCCUGAUCCAGCGACGCCGCAUGAGUGAAGAAGUAUUUCGGUACGUAAAGCUCUAUCAGCAGGAAAGAAAAUGACGGUACCUGACUAAGAAGCCCCGGCUAACUACGUGCCAGCAGCCGCGGUAAUACGUAGGGGGCAAGCGUUAUCCGGAAUUACUGGGUGUAAAGGGAGCGUAGACGGUGAAGUAAGUCUGGAGUGAAAGGCGGGGGCCCAACCCCCGGACUGCUCUGGAAACUAUUUGACUGGAGUGCAGGAGAGGUAAGCGGAAUUCCUAGUGUAGCGGUGAAAUGCGUAGAUAUUAGGAGGAACACCAGUGGCGAAGGCGGCUUACUGGACUGUAACUGACGUUGAGGCUCGAAAGCGUGGGGAGCAAACAGGAUUAGAUACCCCUGUAC